GUUGCCAUGGUGACAGUGGCGUUCCCAGGCUGCGCUCCCUUCCUGCUGGCUCUGGACAGGAGGGUUUGUCAGGCUGUGUCUCCUGUGGCUGCUGGACGGGCGCAGAAGAAAGGGGGCCCUGAGAGCCGAACAGGGAGCUGACCAUCCGGACUGCCAGGCUGGCUCCUGACCACCCCCGGUGCCCACAGGGAGGAGGCCGGUGGUGUCCUGCUCCUGGGUGACCCUCUGGGGCCUCCUCCAGGAAGCCGUCCUGUGGGCAGAGUGCCACGGGGAACCUUGGCUCUGCCUGUUGGUGUUUGUCAUGAUCUUGCUCUCCAGGGGAUGGUGCAUCUCUCCUAAGUGUGGCCUCUUGUAACAGAGGAAACGAAAUCGGGGAGAGGGUGCCUGUGGAAGUGCGAGGUUCACUGGGAAGACCAACUUUUGCUUUACUGAGGCUGUAAGAUGCGCCUUCCAGGUCCUUGGUCACCAGCUGUCCCUGGCUCCUUGGCAGUGUGUUUCUGACGCACUAGUCUGUGAAUCAGGACAGCGAGAACCUCUUGGCCGCCGUGUGGAUUUCCAGGGUGUCCCGGACAAGCAGCACCAUUGUUUGAAUCAGCUUGGAGUGAAAAGAAGGAAUGUGUGCUGUGUCUGUGUCCACACGCACACAGAUCCAGUUUUUAAACUACUGAAACAGCAGCACACGCUGGUCCCAGAAUGGCUGUCACGGGAGCUUACGUCGUGCAGGAAAGUCAAGCACGCCUCAGGGGGUGGCUGUCCCUCCAGCCAUUGUCACGCCAGCGGAUGCGUUGGCUGAAGGCCAGCUGGCUUUGGACGCAGGGUCUUCUCUGUGCUGGGCAGGCCCCCGUGGGCACCUGUGACCUUCAGUCAGAAAAAUGGAGCCCAGACUUGUGCCCGACGAGCCCACUCAGAGGAGUCUGUGGAGCAGGAGCCCCUAAAAGGCCUCAGGAUGGCCCCAGGACAGCGCUGCCCUCCCGGCCCUGGGACACGCGGUGAGAGAGCAGAGGAGGAUGGGCAGGACCAGCCUUCCCUCUCCAGUGUGGAAGCGUUGACUCGCCCCAGCCCCUCCUGGCUCCUGCUGCCGGGCAGCUCAGCCGCUGAGAGUCUGCGAGCCCUGGAAAGAACAAGGGAGAGGGACACCCUGGGGUGGCCGGGCCUGUCCCUUCACUUGGCUGGGAGAGGAGGGCUGCACCCUGAGGCCGAGACCCUGAGGGCACAUCUGUGAGUUCCACCCGGCUUUCCAGAGACUCAACUGGGAUGUUUACAGCGAAGGUACUGGUGAUGCACACUGCACAGAUAAAAGAGGAAGCCCUGGGGCCGGCUCCGUGGCCGAGUGGUUAAGUUCGCG
Molecule: long non-coding RNA, 1345 nt
Filed under: Equus asinus (donkey)
Lineage: Eukaryota; Metazoa; Chordata; Mammalia; Perissodactyla; Equidae
Description: lncRNA (ENSEASG00005038194.1)
Source: RNAcentral